GACGAACGCUGGCGGCGUGCUUAACACAUGCAAGUCGAACGGAAAGGCCCUGCUUUUGUGGGGUGCUCGAGUGGCGAACGGGUGAGUAACACGUGAGUAACCUGCCCUUGACUUUGGGAUAACUUCAGGAGACUGGGGCUAAUACCGGAUAGGAGCUCCUGCUGCAUGGUGGGGGUUGGAAAGUCUCGGCGGUUGGGGAUGGACUCGCGGCUUAUCAGCUUGUUGGUGGGGUAGUGGCUUACCAAGGCUUUGACGGGUAGCCGGCCUGAGAGGGUGACCGGCCACAGUGGGCCUGAGGUACGGCCCAGACUCCUACGGGAGGCAGCAGCGGGGAAUAUUGCACAAUGGGCGGAAGGCUGAUGCAGCAACGCCGCGUGCGGGAUGACGGCCUUCGGGUUGUAAACCGCUUUCGCGUGUGACGAAGCGUGAGUGACGGUAAUGGGUAAAGAAGCACCGGCUAAUUACGU
RNAcentral lists this ribosomal RNA (467 nucleotides) under uncultured bacterium. Its description in RNAcentral is "partial 16S ribosomal RNA". It matches the Rfam family "Bacterial small subunit ribosomal RNA", at positions 28 to 506 of the family's 1533-position model. The record is from RNAcentral.